AGAGCUCGUAGGCGGUGUGUCGCGUCGGCCGUGAAAACCUGGGGCUUAACUCCGGGCGUGCGGUCGAUACGGGCAUCACUAGAGUUCGGCAGGGGAGACUGGAAUUCCUGGUGUAGCGGUGAAAUGCGCAGAUAUCAGGAGGAACACCGGUGGCGAAGGCGAGUCUCUGGGCCGAUACUGACGCUGAGGAGCGAAAGCAUGGGUAGCGAACAGGAUUAGAUACCCUGGUAGUCCAUGCCGUAAACGUUGGGCGCUAGGUGUGGGGUCCAUUCCACGGGUUCCGUGCCGCAGCUAACGCAUUAAGCGCCCCGCCUGGGGAGUACGGCCGCAAGGCUCAUACUCCAAGGCAGUGACGUGGGCCCGCACAAGCGGCGGAGCAUGUGGAUUAAUUCGAUGCAACGCGAAGAACCUUACCUGGGUUUGACAUGCACCAGACGCGUCCAGAGAUGGGCGUUCCCUUGUGGUUGGUGUGCAGGUGGUGCAUGGCUGUCGUCAGCUCGUGUCGUGAGAUGUUGGGUUAAGUCCCGCAACGAGCGCAACCCUUGUCCUAUGUUGCCAGCGGGUUAUGCCGGGGACUCAUGGGAGACUGCCGGGGUCAACUCGGAGGAAGGUGGGGAUGACGUCAAGUCAUCAUGCCCCUUAUGUCCAGGGCUUCACACAUGCUACAAUGGCCGGUACAGAGGGCUGCGAAACCGUGAGGUGGAGCGAAUCUCGUAAAGCCGGUCUCAGUUCGGAUCGGGGUCUGCAACUCGACCCCGUGAAGUCGGAGUCGCUAGUAAUCGCAGAUCA
RNAcentral lists this ribosomal RNA (789 nucleotides) under uncultured Pseudonocardia sp. RNAcentral describes it as "bacterial SSU rRNA". It matches the Rfam family "Bacterial small subunit ribosomal RNA", at positions 564 to 1351 of the family's 1533-position model. Lineage: Bacteria; Bacillati; Actinomycetota; Actinomycetes; Pseudonocardiales; Pseudonocardiaceae. The record is from RNAcentral.